This 492-nucleotide ribosomal RNA is filed under the name uncultured bacterium. RNAcentral's name for it is "partial 16S ribosomal RNA". It matches the Rfam family "Bacterial small subunit ribosomal RNA", at positions 29 to 507 of the family's 1533-position model. The record is from RNAcentral.
AGUGAACGCUGGCGGUAGGCCUAACACAUGCAAGUCGAACGGCAGCACAGUAAGAUCUUGCUCUUACGGGUGGCGAGUGGCGGACGGGUGAGGAAUACAUCGGAAUCUACUUUUUCGUGGGGGAUAACGUAGGGAAACUUACGCUAAUACCGCAUACGACCUACGGGUGAAAGCAGGGGAUCUUCGGACCUUGCGCGAUUGAAUGAGCCGAUGUCGGAUUAGCUAGUUGGCGGGGUAAAGGCCCACCAAGGCGACGAUCCGUAGCUGGUCUGAGAGGAUGAUCGGCCACACUGGACCUGAGACACGGUCCUGACUCCUACGGGAGGCAGCAGUGGGGAAUAUUGGACAAUGGGCGCAAGCCUGAUCCAGCCAUACCGCGUGGGUGAAGAAGGCCUUCGGGUUGUAAAGCCCUUUUGUUGGGAAAGAAAAGCAGCAGGUUAAUACCCCGCUGUUCUGACGGUACCCAAAGAAUAAGCACCGGCUAACUUCGUG